Molecule: ribosomal RNA, 254 nt
Filed under: uncultured bacterium
Lineage: Bacteria
Description: partial 16S ribosomal RNA
Rfam family: Bacterial small subunit ribosomal RNA
Source: RNAcentral
GACGGAGGGGGCAAGCGUUGUUCGGAAUUAUUGGGCGUAAAGGGCGCGUAGGCGGAUUGGCAAGUCUGACGUGAAAUCUCCACCACUCAACGGGGAGAGGUCGUUGGAUACUACCGAUCUGGAGUUUGGUAGAGGAUCGUGGAAUUCCAGGUGUAGCGGUGGAAUGCGUAGAUAUCUGGAAGAACACCGGUGGCGAAGGCGGCGAUCUGGGCCAAAACUGACGCUGAGGCGCGAAAGCCAGGGGAGCAAACGGG